UACGUAGGGGGCAAGCGUUGUCCGGAUUUAUUGGGUUUAAAGGGUGCGUAGGCGGCUUUGUAAGUCAGUGGUGAAAUAUGGCAGCUCAACUGCCGGGGUGCCAUUGAUACUGCGGAGCUUGAGUACAGAUGAGGUAGGCGGAAUUGACGGUGUAGCGGUGAAAUGCUUAGAUAUCGGCAAGAACACCGAUAGCGAAGGCAGCUUACUGGGCUGUAACUGACGCUGAGGCACGAAAGUGUGGGGAUCAAACAGG
RNAcentral lists this ribosomal RNA (253 nucleotides) under uncultured bacterium. RNAcentral describes it as "partial 16S ribosomal RNA". It matches the Rfam family "Bacterial small subunit ribosomal RNA", at positions 524 to 776 of the family's 1533-position model. The record is from RNAcentral.